Anguilla anguilla (European eel) is the source of this 6765-nucleotide RNA transcript. It is a transcript of the gene named pre-mRNA processing factor 4Ba, with no coding region annotated. The transcript has 16 exons. The record is from RefSeq and is a predicted model, not a curated record. Lineage: Eukaryota; Metazoa; Chordata; Actinopteri; Anguilliformes; Anguillidae.
UUCUAUUCAAUUUUCCCAAUGCGCAUGUCCAUCGCAGACGGCGAGACAACGAAAAUGGCCGAUAUGGAGAUGGAGGUUGACGGCAAAAGCUUGGACAGUGGGAAAGAACGAGAGGGAGAGGAGGUGGAGAGUUCGGAGAAGAGCGGGAACGAGGAGGAGAACGGCGAUGUGUCCGGGGAGGAGGAGGAGGAGGACGAGGAUGACGACGGGGGAAAGCCUGAAGGGGAAGUCAAGCACAGCGGUGGCGGUGGUGGCGGCGGCGGCGGCAGCAACAGCAAACACAAGAAGAAGAAACACAAGCACCGGAGCAAACACAAGAAACACAAGCACUCGUCCCCCGAGGAGAAGGACCGGCGACACAAGCACCGGCACAAACGCAAGAAACACCGGCGCAAAGACGGCGCCGCCUCGGCCGCCGGCGCCAACAGCGCGGGCAAGGACGCCGCGUCGCCCGCCUCCAAGCGCCCCAAGUUCGACGACAUGGCGGUCCUGGAGGACCUGGAGAAGCAGAGGGCGCUGAUCAAAGCCGAGCUGGACAACGAGCUGAUGGAGGGCAAGGUGCAGUCGGGCAUGGGCCUCAUCCUGCAGGGCUACAACUCGGGCUCCGAGGAGGAGGGCGAGAUUCAGGACCGGGCCCGCAACGGGGAGGCGCAGAGGGGCGCCGCGGGGAAGACCCUCGCCCCCAAGGGCCAGGGCAGCUCGGCCGCCAACAAGGAGGCCAAGCCCCGGCGGGAGUCCGCCGACGCCGGCAAGUCCGCGGCCAAGCGGCGCAGCCGGAGCAAGUCCAAGGACCGGGCCGCGAAAGUGCAGAAGUCCGAGAGGAGGAAGAGCAGGAGCGGGGCCGAGCCGGUCGCCAAGGAGAGGACGAAGGCCCGCAGCCGGUCCAAGGAGAGGAAGCGGUCUCGAACCCCGGACCGGAGCAGGGACAGGGCCAAGAGGUCCAAGUCCCCCACCGGCAGGAGGCGCUCUUCCGCGGAGAGGAACCGGCACACGCCGUCUCCGACGGGGGAGGCGGAGCCGGCGGCCCGCGCCAACAAGAGGCCGUCGCCCCCGGCGCCGGCGCCGUCCGGGGAGAGCCGCAACCGCGGCGGCCGCAAGUCCAAGUCCCCCGAGAGGCGGAGCCGGUCGCGAGACCGCCGGUCCCGGUCCAAGGACCGGAGAGCCAGGCGGUCGGAGGGAGACAAGGACAAAGACAAGGACAGGGAGAGUGUCGGUAACAGGGACAGAGACAGAGAGAGGGACAGGGACAGAGAGAGGGACCGGGACAAGAAGCCGGCCAAGUCCCCGUCCAAGGACGCCUCGUCGGGCAAGGAGAACCGCUCGCCCAGCCGAAAGCGGGGCCCCAGCCCCCAGGUGCGGCGGAGCACCUCCCCCAGGCGGCGAGACCGCCGCUCCCCGCAGCCCCCGGCCAACGCCCAGGCCGGGGACCGGAGGUCCAAGCAGAGCCGCUCCGCCUCGCGAAACCGCUCCCCCGCCAGGAGGGGGCGCAGUCGGUCGCUGGAGCGCAGGCGUAGGGAGGCGGAGCGUCAGCGCCUGUCGCCCGUCAGGAUGCGGUCGCGGGACGAGGGCGGGGCGCGCCGGGACGCCAGCCCCCCCCGGCGCAGGGUCAGCCGCUCGCCCCUGCGGAGGAGGUCCCGGUCCCCGUGGCGACGCAGCCGCUCGCCGCUCAGACGGAGGUCUCUGGAGCGGGACAGGAUGGGCCGUCGGCAGCGCUGGCGCUCGGGGUCCCGGGAGCGCCGGAGGAGGCGCAGCCGGGACAAGGAGGACAAGUUCAAGGGCAGCCUGUCGGAGGGCAUGAAGGCCGACCAGGAGGAGUCGGACGACGAAGUGCUGGAAGACUUUGAUGUUGAUGAAGAAGACGAAGAGGCCGUUAUCGAGCAGAGACGUCUGCAGAGGCUGGCCAUCGUGCAGAAGUACAAGGCGGUGAACGAGGACAGCAACGUCUCCAUGCCGUCGGAGCCCAGCAGCCCGCAGAGCAGCCCCCGCAGCCGCUCGGCCUCGCCCGACGACAUCCUGGAGCGCGUGGCCGCCGACGUCAAGGAGUACGAGCUGGAGAACGUCGACACCUUCGAGGCCAACAUGAAGGCCAAGCAGAACCUCAUCGCCGUGGAGAAGGACGGAUCCAAUCCAAAAAAGCCAUCGGCACCCGAUAUGUUUACAGAGUCGGACGACAUGUUCGCGGCGUACUUUGAUAGCGCCAGACUCCGAGCCGCCGGCAUAGGGAAGGACUUCAAGGAGAACCCCAACCUCAGGGACAACUGGACGGACGCGGAGGGGUACUACCGGGUGAACAUCGGGGAGGUGCUGGACAAGCGCUACGGGGUGUACGGCUACACGGGGCAGGGCGUGUUCAGCAACGUGAUCCGCGCCCGGGACAUGGCCCGCGCCAGCCAGGAGGUGGCGAUAAAGAUCAUCCGCAACAACGAGCUCAUGCAAAAGACGGGACUGAAGGAGCUGGAGUUCCUCAAGAAGCUCAACGACGCCGACCCCGACGACAAGUUCCACUGCCUGCGGCUCUUCAGACACUUCUACCACAAGCAGCAUCUCUGCCUGGUGUUCGAGCCCCUCAGCAUGAACCUGCGGGAGGUGCUGAAGAAGUACGGGAAGGACGUGGGGCUGCACAUCAAGGCGGUGCGCUCCUACAGCCAGCAGCUCUUCCUGGCCCUCAAGCUGCUGAAGCGCUGCAACAUCCUGCACGCCGACAUCAAGCCCGACAACAUCCUGGUGAACGAGUCCAAGACCAUCCUCAAGCUCUGCGACUUCGGCUCGGCGUCCCACGUCGCGGACAACGACAUCACGCCCUACCUGGUCAGCCGGUUCUACAGGGCGCCUGAAAUCAUCAUCGGGAAACCCUACGAUUACGGGAUUGACAUGUGGUCCGUGGGCUGCACGCUGUACGAACUGUACACGGGCAAGAUCCUCUUCCCCGGGAAGACCAACAACCACAUGAUCAAGCUCGCCAUGGACCUCAAGGGCAAGAUGCCCAACAAGAUGAUCCGAAAGGGGCUGUUCAAGGAUCAGCACUUCGAUCAGAACUUGAACUUCUUGUACAUUGAAGUGGACAAAGUGACCGAAAGGGAAAAAGUGACGGUGAUGAGCACCAUCAACCCCACCAAGGACUUGCUCACGGACAUGAUUGGCUGCCAGCGCCUCCCCGAGGACCAACGCAAGAAGGUGGUCCAGCUCAAAGACCUGCUGGACCAAAUCCUUAUGCUGGACCCCGCCAAGAGAAUCAGCAUCAACCAGGCCCUGCAGCACCCCUACAUCCAAGAGAAGAUCUGACCUGCUCACCCAGCGCUACUGCAACCACUGCUACUUACUAAGUACUAUGGGUCUGGCAGAGGGGAAAAAACAAACCGAAAAAACAAAAAACUUGAUUUGUUUAGUAACUGCAGAGACUGACUGAAGAGUACCUAGGAAAAGAAACAUUUUUUAAAAAUAGUUAACAUUAUUUUUUUUAUUGUUAUUUUGAUGCACAUACAUACCCGUGUUUUUUGCUUUUAUUAUGAAUUUAUUAAGAAAUCAAAGGGUAGGGGUCCAAAAAAAAAAAAAAUCACAUGUACAUUUCCGUUUUUUGGAUUACUUGCAGGACACCCUCAAAUCAAAACCGGUCUGACUUACAGUUUGGCUUUGGUGGGAAGGUUUGGCUUCGAUGUUUAUGGGCCAUCCGAAUAAAGUUUUAGAGAAAAAGAAAAAAAAAUCCCCUUUAUUGCGCUGGAUAAAUAAACCUUUUAUCCUCAUUUUUGAAGUGCUCGUUCUUGGGCCCCUGCAAAAGACCGGUGCUGAAGGCAGUAAUUGAAAAUACGCUUUGUAUGGUUCAGGUUGAGAGAGGGAAGGGUUAUGGUCAUUUAUAGCUUGCCAAGGCUGCACAAGACAGAGCAGAUCGAGUCCCUGAAGAUUGCACACGUCCUUUAUGCAGGGCAGGACGUGUAGCCCUCGCUGUACAGGUGUACAUGCGCAAUGUCUCGUGAGUGUAGACUGCACCAUACAGGUGUAUAGGCGUGAGGUCUUGUGCGUGUAGACCACACCAUACAGGUGUACUGGCGCUGCACAGGUAGACCUGACUGUACAGGUGUGCACGCACAAGACCUCACUGUACAGGUGUACACGCACGAGACCUCACUGUACAGGUGUGCGUGCACAAGACCUCACCGUACAGGUGUACAAGCAAGUAGACCUCGCUGUACAGGUGUACUGGCGCCGUACAGGUGUACACGCGCGAUGUCUGGUGCAGGCUUGGCAGCUGUUGCUGUGUGUGGCGCAGGCCGGCGUAAAUGCUGUCUAUAUCCGCGUCUCCCCCAGGUGUGAGUGCACAGGCCCGGCAGCAUGGCACGCCCGUGGCGUGGGUCUUGUGUCCUCCUUGAGUCCGCCUGCAGGGACGGCCUGCCCUCCUCAGUUAAAGCAGGUUGUGUACCACUUUCAGUACACUGAAGGUAAGCUCCCCAAACCCAUCAACUUCACUGGUGUUCUCGCGCAUUCUAGCACACUGGCAAAAACGAGAGAGAAAAAAAAAUUACUUAAAAAAAAAUAUAUAUAAAUCCAGUCCUGGCUUCUCUGGCAUUUUACUUUGCAUGUGUAAAGAGCAACGCGCAAAAUGGACGAUCACACAAAUUUCAGAAAAAAAAUUUAAAUUUAAAUCGAUGUGCUGAUGGUUUGUUUCAGAUUUUACGCUGUGUUGUAUACCUCACGUCGAUUACAUUUUCUGUCAAUGAAAAUUCAGUUGCAAGUCUGAAUGUAUUUUUUUGGCAAACCAAUAGUGUGCAGAUUUGGGGGGCUGGUGGGACUCGAAGCUCUGAUGGAUGAAGGCGCCUUCAGUGUACUGCUUCUAUUAAUAAAGUUUUUUCAAAUCUUUGCAGAAAUGUGACUUAGUAAGGGGUAGUCUAUCCUUUUCUUUCUGUCAGUUUUUCACCCUUUACUAUAUAUUAAGUAAUCUUAGAAAACUGCAUGUGAGGACUUAAGAUGGCAGUCUCUUAUAUGUUGUGUAAAAUUCUUUGUGUGCUUUUUUUCUUAAAGGCCAUUUAAACUUUUUUCUGUUUUAGUCCUCCUUUGACUCAUGUCUGUGAUCAUGUUGUCUUUUGAUACAGGGAUAUUCCUGCUCUGAUCUUUGCAUCUGCUUGUUACAAGCGGUAAUUGCUUCUUUACUAUUUCCCCUUGUAUUGUAUUGUUGAACCAUCUUCUGGGCAUCCUUGGGACAGAAAAAAAGAAACCGCAAAACCAAAAGCAUAGUUUUUAUGCAGUUAUUUUUCAGAUUUAUGUGUUUUGCUUCUUGUCAUCUGAGAAGUCUUCCCUGCAUGUUGACUGGAUGGCGCAGAAUUAUUGUAAAUCCUCAGUAUGCAUUAAAAAAAAAAAAAAAAAGCGUAAAAUAAAGUUUUUUGUGGAAAAAAAAAUUGACAAAACAUGGUUGUGCGGACCUUGCAGAAAUUUCUGUGGUCUUUUUUGCGAACUAACUCCUUUUUCUUUCUGAAGCACUUAACCUCAAACACAUGUAAAAUUCAGAACCAGAAAAGUAAGAAAUGCUGCAUUCUGUUUACCCUGUGCCUUUACUGCAGCACUGCCUCCGUUUCAGCGUUUGUCUGCACUUUAGGCUGAUAUUUGGGGGUGUUAUGGAAGACAGAAAAAGCGGUGCUGUGUGUUUUGACACUAAUUACUGUUUGUGAUGUUUCUCCCACUCUUUCCUGUGGUUGCUGAGAGAGACAAAGCCAAGUUAAGCCUCCAGGCCAAGAGGCUCUGUCCACCGUCCUCUACUGCCUGGUUCUGCUUUGAAAGACAAGACCUCCAUCUACUUAACAAGGUCAUUUCUGAUGGCAUGUGUAGAUCAAAGACAAUGUGAGAGACGCGUAUAAAGAUGUAAACAGAAGCUUUAAAAAAAAAUCUAAAGCUCAGUAUGUGUCAUUGGGUCCUUUCCUAGUCAUCACAUUGCCAAAUGUACACAACGGCUAUGUCUGGAUAAGGUCUGGGUGGAGAUUAUGCUUUGGGAGGGCAUGGAAACUAUGCUACUCUCGGUAUAUUUGUACAAAUUGGGUUCGUUUGUGGUACAUUUGGGCCAGUGAGACCAGGGUCAACUAAUGUCUAAGAGUCAAGGGGGGGGGGACAUUAAGUUCUUUUGGUUUGGAUGGUUUGUCUCUCCACAAGUGCUGAAGGAACAUGAUACUGUAAUGUUUUGGUCAUGGAUAACUGCCUCUCUGUCAUGGGUACAAAAGGUACAACGUUCUUAUCUCCUAUGUCUUACAGACCUAAGCCUAAAGCUUAAGUCCAUAAGCUGUCAUGUAUAUCCUUCCUGUGCUGAUGUACUGGGCCACGUGUUUAGUCUCUACUGAUCUGAACAUGUCAAUGGUAAAAGGUUGUUUUAAGUUCCUGGCCAAACAAGUGGACCCAGUCCUGACAUACCGUUUGUCCUCAAACUUCACGGUUAACUUUUUUUUUGUGUUCAGUUAUGAGUGAUCGGCAAAAGCAUCCAGAUACUCGUUUAUGUGUUCUCUGUAUUCUAGGUGCAGUCCCUUAGAAGAUCCUCACAGAGCACCUCACCUGGACAAAGGGUAAGUUGCCAUUUGGCAUUUUCCUGUUCCCCUUCUGACUUGAAAACUUGGACUUGGCCAUUUGGACACCCAAGGAAGCAGCUCUGAUCCCAUUGAACCAUUUGCUAAUGCUUAUUGCAUCAUUGUUUAUUAUGAUGAUCUUGCACUGCACCUCAUAUUUGAUAAACAUUGUAAAUGAGCUGCAUUCACGUAGUAUUUCAAGCAUAAAUGUAACCAAUUUAAGUAUAAA